Taeniopygia guttata (zebra finch) is the source of this 33422-nucleotide non-coding RNA. Lineage: Eukaryota; Metazoa; Chordata; Aves; Passeriformes; Estrildidae. The record is from RefSeq and is a predicted model, not a curated record.
CAGUGAUCGGAAAUGUCUUGCCCAAGCCCCAUUCCCACUGGAAAAAGUCAAAAGGGUUCCUGGCAUUAACACGACCUUGCGUCAUUCCUGAUGAAAUUAGCAGAGCUACUUGUUUAGAGCUUUGCUAAGGAUGCACUUUGGUGACAGUAAGAAGUAAGAAAUUUGGGGUUUAACCCCACAUCUGAGCAGGAUCUGUCUGCUUUCACUAGCUGCAAAGCCUGAGACCAGCACUUGAAAGCGCUUUAGACCCGCAGUCCAUUUUUCACUUGUCUUUAAGUGCAAGCGAUGGGAAUUGCUAACCUCGGCUAAGAAAAUUUCAUUUUCCCCAUCUUGCUAAACGGUUCUGGUCGACAUAUGUUUGUUAUCAGAGAGAGGUGCUAUGAACACAGAGCCAUUUUCUUAGCAGCUCUUUGACUCUGUGUUACCAUAGUCCCACACGGCAUUGGUCCUUUCCCGUUGGGAAGUCAUGAAUAAGAGACUAUGAAGCUUGCACGUCAGAUCUUCCUCAAUUAAUCCACCAUUAGCAUGUUCGGGAUCCUCUACUGGAUGGUUAACAGCAGCAUUGGUAACUGUAUGCUGUCCAUACCCAAUUAUGCUCUGCUAAAAAUGAACUCUGCAGAAGAACCUUCCUGAGCUGUCAGUGUCUCCCGUUUUCCUAUUUUAACGCUUGUGUGUAGUGGCAGGCGACAGAUGGUGUAGAUCAGAUCGAUUUGAUUGCAUUAGGCGAUUUUUUUUUUCCUCCUCUCUCCCCCCGACUCCUUUUCUGGAAGCCCACAUUCAUCUGAGAGGCGAUCGCCGGGGACAUGGGAAGCAAGAGCAGCCGCCGAUGUGUGAAAGCAACGAGACAUGGCCAGCCAGAGGCGCCGGGGUCCCUUCACGGGGUUUGUUAACAUGGUAAUCCGGCACCAGGAGAGAAAGCUGCUUUCUGCUGCCCAGAGCCCAUUCCCCAUCACACAUCAGAUGACUCCCUGGCUUUACACACAGUUGGAGUUCUGCUCGAAACGUGGAUUUAAAGGGUAAGCGCUUCAACGGAGGUGGAUUUCUGGUGGUUACUCGGGUAGGUGGCAAAAGGAGCGAUCUUCCAGCGAUUUUAGAAAGAGGCUCCCUUUGAGCGGGCAUGAAUAUUUGCUUCUUCCUUUCUUCUCUCUCUUUUUUUUUUUUUUUUCCCUGUGCCCCCUCCCCUUUCACCAGCGAGCCCCCUAAUUCAGAACAAUUUCUCACACGGAAAGACAUCGCGCCUCUCUAUUGACGGAUGGGAUCAAUAUUCCCCCCUCUGAAAUUUGCUUUUCGUGGCGAGCCCGAGCUCUGCUCAGACCUUCGCUCCUGAUAGCUUAAUUGUUUAAUUCCCUCCAUCCGAUCCCCUCCCUUCUGUGCGUGUGUGUGCGGUGUGCGCGUCCCCCUCCGCGGGCGCGGCGGAGGUGGCGGAGGUGCCCCCCGGGGCCCUUCGCUGGCCCCGCCGGGCUGGCGCUCCGGCACCCGGGCUCUUUUAGCGCGGCGCGGGGCGGCAGCGCCGAUAAACAUGGCUUUCCGGAGCCGGUGAACAAAGGAAUCUGUUGCUGCGUAUGACAUCUCUUGCAAGCUCCCAGAGAGAAUUGAUGGCGCAUACAGCUAGGGAAUAGGAUACCAGAGAAGCACAGAGGAAGAAUCCAGGCAAUCACCAGGAUGGGAAGGUUCAGCGUCCACUGGAUAUGGGACAAGAUCGCUUGGCAACCCUUGUGGAUUCUCCUUCUUCUGGAGGCGAAUUAUAGUUAUGGAUUUAUUGUCCCGGUGCAGCACUUCCACCACCAGUAGCAACAGCAGCAGCUUUCUGACUCUCUUCGGUGACGGGUAUUCUUGGGUGGAUAAUACGGAUUACGUUGUUAUUGCUUAAGAAUACGCGUAGUCGAGGAGAGUACCGGCGGCGGGCAGGCAGGCAGGCAGCGCGACCGCCCCCAGCCCACCAGCUGGCUCCUCACCUCCUCUAGUUGCCAAGGAUCAGAGUAGAUUCAGACUGCCUCCUCUGGGAGCACUGAUUCAUUUUCCUUCCCUUCUUCCCCUGUAAGUUAAAAUGCCUGUUGAUUUUAGUGUCUGUCUCCUUGGCUUACUCCCUGCUUGGCUCUAUUUCCCAUACCCCACAUGGCUUUUCAUAUGCCUGAAUCUUGCCCUGGGUUAUCUUUUCCUUAGUAGCCCACUGCAACCUCACAGAGUAGGACUGUGGUGCAGGAGCAGGAGCCUGGCAGUGGCUGGCAGCCUGUGAAACACUGCCAGGAGAGCAGGGAAGUUGGUUGAUGUCUUGGGUCUUGGUGAGAUGGUGGAGAAUCUGCUGCAGACCAGAAAAGACAGUCUCACUGUAGCCUGUUAGGGCACCAGUUAGACCAAGAUUUUAGAAAAAAGGGGCUUAAAAUCAGACACCUAGGCCUAUCUUUACACAGUCAGGUAGGACCAAUGUUGUUAUAAGCAGAUAUAAGUACUCCUAAGAGAUGAGACUGAUUGCAGUCUCAGGACAGACAGGCAUUGGCUGCACCAGCAUCCACAUGCUGCCAGAGUGACCAGAGCAGCCUUGUGCUGUGGGCAGCAGCUUGUCCACCUCAGCAGCACCAGGCUGCAUCUGGGCAGAAUCUGGGCAGAGCUUGGGGUAGCUCUGCUCUCCAUGUUUUAGCUCCAUGCCAGGCAGUGAACAGAGAAAAACAUCUUCAGAGAGGCAGUGUAGUGCAGUUCUUAUCAACUGACCAACAUUUUAAAGCCAGCAUCAUGGAGAUUGAAUCCCAUUGCCAUGGAAAAUACAGGUUAGAAAUUUAUUGCUUGGGGAGGGGGGGAAAUUGUGGGCAUUAGGUGGGCUCUGCAGUCAUGGCCCUGGGCACAGACAUUUAGCUGGCAGCCUGUUCCCAGGUACUGCACAGCCCUGUGUGCUCUGCUGAAUCUGGGAGGGUUGAAGCAUGUGCUCAACGAAAAGGGAUCCCAAAUGAGUAGUCACAUGGCCUUCAGGAGUCUCAGGCUAGGACUCACAGCACAAAGGGGACUCUUUGCUCAGGCUGUGCCCUGCAGUUAUUUGAAAAUGCAUGCUUUUUCUUUUAAUUCAUUAAAUACUUUGAUUCAGUGAUACACCUUCAGAAUGUGGUUUAUUCUGUGCAGUCAAAUGUUUACUGAGGAUGAUAAAAUACAUCCAACCUGCCUUUCUAGAGCUUCAUCUUUUACUUCAAAGGGAAGGCAUAACCUUUUGUUUCCUGGUGUAAUUUUUACUGAACCUCUGCCUACUUUAUUUAUCAGGCCACAUAUAAAUUUAUUACCACUUGUGUUUCCGAAUAAAAGACUCAUAGGUUGGUAAGUAGUCUAUAAGUCGAGCUUCCUUGAAACUCAUAAAAGGAUGAUUUUGAUCCAUGGAAUUGCUAAUUAAAGCUGCUUUUCAAUACCGAAAAAUUAAGUUAACAGUAAUUAAUGUAGCCAGCCUGGAACCUUAGGAAACUACUGCCAGCAAGUGUCUUUUGGUGCACUCAAGAGGAUGCAGUUUGAUUGUUGGCACCAACAGACAGGUUGGGAAUUGUAAACAUGGUAAUUAGCAGUAAGUUUCUGGAUCUCAACUUGCCAGACUGGCAGUCUGAUUCUUGGAAUAGUUGUCGCAUGGGAGUAGGGAAAAACAAAGUAAGGGAAUUAGAGUAACCUUGCAUUGCUCCACCAACAUAUGCCACUGGACCAAUGUUUUUCUUGGCAAAGAUCUCUGACAAAGCGCUUAGAAGCAGCAUUGCAGCCCUACUGCAAGCUGUGAAUCUCGCUGCAGGCAUCAACCAAGCAACUACCUCUGGCUCUUCUGUUUAAACUACAAGUGUUGCUCCAUGGUAAGGAAUUUCAGAGCCUGAGAUCCUUCCACUCCACCUCUGUGGUGGAGCACAGUGUUGAUAAGGUUAUCAACAAUAAUGGGAUUAAAAGAGUUAAAAUCCAGCUUUUGCAGUAAUCCUGGAGUAUUCUAUUGUUGAGCUAUCAAAGAUUAAGGUUAUAGUAACCUUAUUAAUCCUUGGUGUAGUGUAAAUAAAAAGGAAAUGUCAACCUUAAUUCCACCAUGAAAUUAAAUCUUUACUUCUCUAAAUGAUGAUUCAAACGCAGCUUACUGCAGCCAAUGUGGUUUAUGAAAAUGCAUAACCCAUGUGAAUUUAAGAAAUCCAAUCUGAGAAACAGAGAGAAGGGGGUGAUAAAACAUGACACUUCUUUUGUUUAAAAUGAAAAAAAAAAAAACAUUCAGCUUGUAUGUCCGCAGAAACUAUACCUAGAACCAAAAAAGUAUGGAAAGAACUAGGAAGGGACUGAAUGCUCAAGGUGUACAUCCAUGUGAGGCAGAGAAUGCAGCUGCCAGCCCACAGCAGAACAGCCACUCCUGUACCAGAGAGCAGCCACAGCACUGCUGGUGCUGCUCCAUUCCUGUCCUCUGCUUGCAGGACACUGCAUGGCCUUGUUAGUCAGUAUCAGGGACAGGGUGCCCUGACACAAGGGCUUAACUGAACAUUGAUCCACUUGUGCUUUCAGUGCCAGAGACAAUGUGAUGAAAACCAAAAAAUGUCAGAAGUGAAAUGAUUGCUGAACCUUCUGCAAACAGCAAGCCUUCACAGGUGCUGGUGUGAAGGGCAGACGUGAUUUCCAGAGGGGUGGGAGCUGCCUCUUUUGGUAAUGGAUGGCUUUCUCCUCACUUGUGCUGGGCACAGCCCCUACUCACCCUGCCCACAGAGGCUGAACCUAUAAGUAGGUCUGAAAUUGCCCUCUGGAACUAGCUAACUGAAGAGAAGGAAAGACAGACAGACAGAGUUUUUCUUAGAAGUCAAUGAAAUCUGUUCCAGGUAGAUCUGUGUAUCUUUGUGGAGAGCAGAUGGGGAAUUACAGUAAGCAGAAGUGGGCUAAGUACCCUUUAUUAUGCUUUUUUUGACUUGGAGGAGAAAUAGUGGUAAAAUGGGGUGAUUCAGAAUGAUUCUGCAUAUUAAGUAUCUCAGUCACUCACUCCAAGUGUAGGAGAGUGGUAGUUAAGUAUCAAGGAGCUGCCAAUAGAACUGAGCUCUCUGGAGGGCAAGAGGCAUUGCCAGAGAAUAAGAGAUGGUUUUGGGUUUUGGAGGGGCUGGGAAAGGGGCUUUGUCGCCUCAGCAAAACCCAUCUACCCCAUGGUUUCUGCAUGUCCUGGAAAUUACUGGGUUUGUGGACUGAUAGAGCUGGAGAGGGGGCAUGUUCUGCAUCUUCAUAUUGUUUGCUCCAUUUCUCAUAAACUCUGAUAAAGUUGCAUGAUGAAACUCAGGCUCAUAAAAGAACUCAUUUUAAGAUAGGUUUUUUUCUUCUUCACUCAGUGAAUCAUGCUCGUCUCUGGUGUGAAUUGUCACAGCUCCAGAGCGUGCACCAGUUCAGAUGUGCCCGCUGGGUCCUGGGCUGUCUCCAUCCCCUCCACAGCUGCGAUUGCUGCCACAAACACAAAUUGGCUCGCUCUGGCUCUUCUCGUCUUUCCGCAGCGUAGGAACAGAUAAUGGGCCCGUGGGGUUGUUCAGAAAUAUUGCUGGUUUCCAGUGCUAGCAUAAUGGUCCCUUCUAGGUAGUAUCCCUUUCCUGGACAAUUUCCCAGUAAAAUAGUAAAUGGCAACUGCAGAGCAGUAAAGGCAAUGGCGUAUUUGUUUGACUGACAUUUCCGAGCCUGCAGAGCAAAUGCAAUUAGGAUCCACAUUGUGCUGCAGUUUCCUUUCUUCAUUUCCGUGCCUUGGAAGAACUACUGUUAGGAUCAGCUUAAGUGUGGUCCCUGCUACCUUAGAGUGGUGGAGAUGCUCCAGGGAUGGAAGGCAGCGUGUUCCCAAGCCUGUGUGAGCACUUUUGCAUUGGGACCAGUCAGCACCUCAGAGGGCUCAGCUGGGACAGGAGCUGCUGCCACUCCCCUGCUGGCACUGCAGCCCCAGGCAAUAGUGAUUUUGUUAGUGGGUGUGCACUUCUUCUGGACUCAGCAGAGCUGACACCAGGGUGGCUCUGUGGCACCAGCCCUGCACUUCUCACUGGGCAGUAAUCUCUGUCCAUGCCCAUGAUUCUGUGCUGGGCAAAGCACCACAGUGUUUGGGCUACCCUGGCCUUCACCAGGGGCACCUGAUGGUUUAUUUGGAAUAUUGCAGGAUCAACAGCUUUGAGCACUUUGAUACAGACUUGGCAGCAGAAAGAAAUGUGAAAAAAACUGUUGAUAAUCAUUCAGAUUUGCCUGAAGGAGGUAAUUGAAAACAAAUUGCUACUAAGAGCCACGGCCAUGGUUAAUUGUGGUGAAGCACUGUGGGCCACUCACCUGUAGGAAAAGACUGCUAGAGGAUAAAUGGGGGUCAAAAUUGUUUCUGCCCUGGUGGAGAAAGAGGGUCUCAGUCAUAUAAUUUGGUUUAUAGGGUUAGUCUGUAGAUCCUAGAUUCUGAUAUGAAAAUCCAAGCCUGCAGAGAAAUGCUUUAAUGGCUGGAAAUAAUGCAGCCAGUGAUGGCAGGAGCAGCUGUGGCUGGCCUUGGUGGCAGGGGGAUGGCCAGGCUGUGUGGCAUCCCUUCUGCCACAGGCAGGUCCGAGCUGACCCCCGCAGGAGAGGCACAGGCAGAUGUCACAUCCCCGCUCAGCAGGAUGGAGUCUACAAUGUGCACAGAGCUUCACAGCCUGCUCCAGCUGUGAAUUUUACCUUUCAUGUGGAACAUUGCUGCCAUGCACUCUUCUAUUUUUUAGCAAAUUUAAACAUUGCAAUGUCUGCUGUUCCUGAUGCUUCUUGGAUGUCUGGACUCAGGCAGAUGCUGAUGCCUGUGUGAGCUAUGAAGUGUUUUGCACUGUGGGUCCUCUGGGCACAGGGUCAGAGAAAGCCAGGACAUGAGGUGGCAUUGAUCUGCUGCCUUGGGGUGACAGGAGGGGGUCUGCCCUUGCUGGGCAGUGGCUCCCCAGGACAAAACUUCUUUGUCUCUCAGAGAAGCUCUUUCCAAAAUGCUAUUGCAAGGAUUCAGGAGAUGAAAACAGUGAUAAAAAGGAUGAUACAAUUUUUACUAAAUUUCACUUUUUCUAGAUACUUUGAUUCAGAGUUCCUGCAGGGUAAAAAAAAAAAAAACAAAAAAAAAACAAAAAAAAAAAAACCAAAAAAAAAAACCUGCAGCUUCCUGUAUCUGGUGACAAAUUCCAUACCAGCCUCUUUCAGGACAGGUCCUUGCUCCAGGUUCUUGGAUAUUUGCUUUGUGCUCAGGGAACCAUGUAUAGGAGAACACUUCAGCCUGUGCUGCUGUGUUUGCUCCCUGUGCCAAGGUGCAAGUAUGGGAAAGACAGGACAGCAUGAAGAAUGGGAACCAAAGUUUCUUAAAGCAGUCUAAAUGCAGGGCAACCCUGCUGAGUUUGUGAUGUUACAUGAGCAUUGGCUGAAACAGCUCUGAGUGUUGGGCCACCCCAAUUGGAGCCUCAACUGCAGCAUUUCAAAAAGGACAUUAAAGCAUACACAUGUAGCACAAGUAUAAGAAUAUGAAAACCCCCAUCUAAUCUGAGAUAUGGGAAGAGCCAUCACCUGUCUCUCUUUGGAAGAGAGAGAUCCUUUGAUAGUUCAACAUACCCUUAUAUAGAAAACCAAAACAUGCUGAUCUGACUUAUUAUUGCUAUUAAUGACAGCAUUUGGGAAGUUUGGUAUUUUAGCCUUUUUUCUUCCUUUACAACAAAAUACCCAAGUGCUGUCCAUGCAGAAAAGCCUUUCCUCAAACAGUGAGGCUGGUGUGAUAAUGUUAGGGACAUGCAGUCAUGCUCCCCUCUGUGGGAGUCUUGCCUGCACAAGAGCUGCAGGCUGUCAAGCUUUCCCCACUGGAAUGGCAGCUCUGCUGCACAGGGUACAUGAGCAAUUGCUCUUGUUUUUAACAUGUGGGAUCAUGAGUUGCUGGGGUUGAAAAAUACUGUCAGAAUGAAAAUACAGGAGGCUGACUGAGAAAUCAGUGAGUAUACUACCUGGAUGCUCCAAAUUUAGAUAUCGUAAUUGAUAAGGGAUGUAAAAUAGAUGACUCUUUUUUCAAGCCAAAAGAUAUUCUGUUAGCGUGAUGCAAUCUGUGUUUGUUUUAAGAAUACAGCUGUGUUUUACAGUCAGGUGUGCACCAGUAUGCGCAGGCACAUGUGAACGGAAUAACUGCAGUGUUCCAGCACUGCCAGGAGUUAGGUGCUGUAGGAAGCUGGCAGUAUGGAAUGUACUAUCAGCUCCAGGGUCAAGCACAGUGCCUUUACAAUAGCAUGGAAGUCUGAGUGGAGCUGGGUGAGAAUGUUUUCCCCUACAUAAAUGUGCAGGUGGUAAAUAUAAGUUCACAAUCCCCAUAUUUUCCUUUAUUUUCUUUUAUUUCUUUAAGCUGAAGGGGAAAAAAGGGCGGGAGGGGGAAUGGGUUUUCUACGGAAGGAAAAGUUCUUGGGAGGACAAAGCUCUAUGCAUGCUCUAAAGGUUAAUGGAUACAAGGAGCUGCUGAGCACAAGGUGUGUGUGGUGGGUAGAAGGGGUUCACAGAGGGCCAGGUGGGGUCACCUGGGGCCAGGACAUUUGGGAGCUCAGGGAGCUUCAGUGGACAGGGUGGGCGAUUACUGUCAUGAAGAGACACAACCUAAUUCCCCAGAAAACCAACAGACAAGCACAUGCUCAAGGCCAAUGCCAUGGCCCUGGGUUUGUUCCACGCCGCCGCUCCUCAGGCUGUGGUGCCGAGUCGGCGCUGCCCUGCCCCAGUGUGGCUCUGCCUGGAGGCACGGGGGUGCCUGGGACAGCAGCUCCGGCACCCCGCUGGCUGGGGCUGGGGCUCUGGGCCGGGCCGGGUGCCUGGGACAGCAGCUCCGGCACCCCGCUGGCUGGGGCUGGGGCUCUGGGCCGGGCCGGUGCCUGGGACAGCAGCUCCGGCACCGCGCUGGCUGCUGGCCAGGGGCUCUGGGCCGGGCCGGUGCCUGGGACAGCAGCUCCGGCACCCCGCUCGCUGCUGGCCAGGGGCUCUGGGCCGGGCCGGGCCGGGUGCCGGCCUGAGCAGCCCCGCGGGCUCUGCGCGGCUCCGCCCGGCCCGGCCCGGCUCGGCCCGAGGGGUGCGGCUCCAUGGCAUUAGCCGGGCCCGGGCCCUCAGCCUUGCGCUUCCUCUUUCAUAUGCACAAAGUACAGCGUGGUGUAAGAGGGUGUGCGUGGACGGAAACUGAGGAAGCCAGGGAAUUCUUUUCUAUGGUAAAUAUUUAUAUUAUUUAGACUAAUACAGUCUUAAACGUUGAAUGAUUUUUUUUCUCCCUCAUAAAUUUGGUAUUACCUUUAGAAUAUGAGAGCAGGAACUCACUGGAAAUAAUAAGAGAGAGGUCUUGGUUAAAGAAACUGCAGCUAAGGACCUCUUUCUUUUGGAACAUCCAAUCUUUCUACUGAUGGAUUCCAAAUAGCUACUCUAAAGCUCCAUGAGACUGAGUAUGAUUUCCAAAGGAUAUAUCCCUACAAUGAUUUAAGCCUGAUAUUCACCACACAAAAGCUUUUGUUGCAUUAAACAAAUCCCUGCAGUUCUCUGGCUUAACUUGCUGCUCAGUGGAAAGCUGGGGACACCAGAUUGGCAAGUGGGUGCAGAAAGGUAGAGGGAAUUGGUCUGAUGAGCUGAGGAGUCACAAUCCGAUACCGUGACCCUUGCUGCGCCCUCCCUGCCCAGCGCUGCUCUUCCAGGCAGGAUUCAAGCCUCUGAUACCUCAGUUUUCCUGCCCAAUUACAUGAAAUGAGAUCAGGAAAAAAACUGUUUACUACAGCAUGUUCUAGUUUUUGGAUCCAAACAGAUUGCUGUACAUUGGGUGUGAAACUCCCUAAUGUUUUAGAAAUUAUGCUGGAACGUCUCUGACUGACAGCUCUGAGCAAAGCACUUUCUGAGGUUAUGUAAAUGCCUAAAAAGAAAUCUAACCCCAGAUCUUAGUUGUGUAGCAGAUUUGAGUCCUGUGAAUUCUAGGCACUGCCAGAUUUUAAAGCCCUGCUGCUACCUUACAUAAAUACUCAUAAAUACUUACAGUAAGUGUCCUAAAAAGAUCUUUGGUUGCCCAAGUGAGCUAGAAGAAAGCAUUGCAGAGCUGCCCCAUCUCUUCUGGUCACAAAGAACAUGCAAUCUGCCCAGGGCUGCUUCAGCAAGAGUUGGGAACCUGCCCCUUCACGUCCAGAUAGAGCUGUACAUACCAGGGAUCGUAUCCCAGGCGGAGGAAGGAAGUUGUUUUCAUCUAUGAUGCCCAGUAACAGGGCAAAGAGACCUUUCCUUCUGUGUCUGUGCUCUAGCAUGACGCAGAAACAAUUUUAACACAUGUUUAUAAAUUCCACCCGAGUGUUGCAGCCCUUGCUAUGAAUCUCAAAAGUGUGUUCAAGAUUUAUUAGUAUUGGGCUGCUUCUGACACAAGGGAUGUGUGGGACAAAGAGCAGCAGCUUCUGUGUUAUAAGGAAGCACAAAAACCAUGUCAGUACACUUGUAAUUUUUUGCUUCUAAAUGUUGCUAUCCAAAUGCCAUUGUACUUGCAACUAUUCUGUGUGCAUUAAAUCUGAGGUGCAGAACCCUAUCUCAUAUUAAAAAUGUGAAAGUAACAUUAUAAUCUCUUUAAUGUUUUUGUAAGAACCGUUGUUAGCUCUUAUAGCCUUGUCCUUUGUAUGACUUAAGGCGGAAAACCAAGAGUUGCUGCAUUUUAAAAAGUUCAGAAAGAUGUGCUUAACUUAAUAGAAGUCUUUAUUUCCUGGGUUUGAAUAGGUAUGUAAAAACAAGGGGAUUGAAUAAUUGCAAAGUUGGUGUGAUAGAGCACACUAAAUAAUGGCUGUGAUUAAUUUUGUAGAAUUGUUAAUGAAUAAUUGGCAAAAUGUUUUCCGUACGCAGCAACUUCUAGAAUGAGCUGACUCAUUAUUGCAUUUAAGGAGUGGUACCUUGAGUUGUCAUCCGAUGCCUAUUAAAAAUGGCAAUUGAUUUUUUGUUUUGGAGAGAUUGAGUUAGGGUCCUAAAGGACCUGUGACGUUUUCCAAACAAAAUGCCUGUUGUUUCCUUAGUUCUUUGCUGCUUAUCCCAGACUAGGUAAGAAAUCAACUGUGAAUUACAGCACUACCCACUUCUCCUCUUCUGAAGGGAACAGAGGAGAGGGACAGAACACUUGAGCAAAGGGAAAAGCUAGAGGAGGAACAGGGCAGAAAGGAAUGACUGGAAAAGAGAAGAAAUGGAGAAAAAAGCAGAAAGGAAAGAGAAGCAAAAGGAGACAAGGGAAUGGAAAGUCAGAGAGCAUGGGGACUCACGUGGCCCAUGGCUGCCCUGAUGAGCUGCUGCUGGUCACGGGCCCUGGCUGAUGUUCAUCCACGGUCAGCUGGCCCAAGGUCUACAAGGAACAUGAGUAAGCACCAGUUCCCAGCUAAAUCUCAGCAGGUUUACUGCUUACCAACCCGUGACAAAAGAUGAAGUUAUGUCCUAUCUGGCCACACACUGGGCUGUAGGUCCUCUUUUAUUUUAUUUAUUUUUUUCUGAGAGGAGACCUAGCUGAUGUUUCUUGCUACUCUCAAAAAGGAAAAAAAAAUCAGUGGUUGUGAUUUAGAGGAGCUAAGUAUUUAAAAUAAACUAUACAUUCAUAUAAAGUGAUUUCAUAUAAAAAUUGAGUGAUAACCAGAUGACUGAAAUCAAUGCAUCCUUAUCAAAGGCCAAAGAUUAUUUUGUAUGGUGUUUACACACUAUUUCUGCUCUCACUGUACCCUCUUACAGAUUUACAGAUGGGGACAAUGAAAAAAAUAUGUUCCAUGCAAUUACUUGCUGCUGCCUUAUAAAAAGCCAAAUCCAGUAAACUUCAAUAUGGAGUAAACUAAUAGUGUCCUUGUGAAUGAGUAACCUGAGGAGUUUUGUCCUACUACUGAUAGUAAAAGAAGACCUGUCAAUGAGAUUCAGCCUUCAUAAAAAAAUAGGUUAAGAUAAGAUUUGAAAGAGUUUGGCUUGGCAUUUCCAACCAGUUGAGAAUGAAUUCUGGACUUGGGUUGGCAAGAGUUAAGAGCAUAUCUUCUGUAAAUCUUUGUUUUCUGCUUUGGAGAGUCCAGUAUACUUGUCCUCUGGUAAUCAGAAACAUCUCCUACCCUCACACAAACAGUAGGUAUCUGAUAAAAGCUCUGAUCACAAUUUGUGCUUUGCUUUCCUCAUCAUCAAUGCAAUUUUAAAAUCAUGUUUCAGAGGAAGUCCAUCCAUGCACUGAGCAGGAAUAACCCAUCGGGUCUGAGCAGGAAGAGUUAACGUCCUAGACACAGUGCUUUGUACAAAGCAAAGAAUAUAAAGAAUAUUCCAGGAAAGCCAUAAAGAGAGAUGAUGAGUAAUUAUUUCUGGGAUGUUAAAAAUACUGUUGUGCUUCCAAGUUGCUGCGUGAGCCUGACUGCAGUGUCUGGCUCAGGGUGACUCUGGGGAUGGCACUUUCACAGAUAUCAGCAAUGCAGAGUAGUCCCAAGCAGGUCCUGAAACUUUAACAUGUGAUGAGGCCAGAAGGUAGUUUGGUGCAGUGAUAAUGAUUUAUUUAAUGCAACUUAUGUGUGUAAAGAUGCAUCUGAGAGAGUGUGGGUCUGCCAAGAGCACUUUCUUGGACACCACAGUGAUCAGUCCAGGCUGGAGGUUGAAGGCUUGAGUAGAGGUCUGUUGGAUCAAGCUACUAAUUUUUAGUGGGUUUGAGCUGUUCUUAAAUAAACUUUCCUUAGUUAGGGUGGCACCGCUAUGUCUACUUCCUACUGAGCAAUAGGAAGACAGAAAGAGCAUCUACAACAGUAAUAGUUUUACACAAAUUGAUUUAAUGUCUGGAAUAACUGGAAGCUUUCAGAGCUUGGAUGAGGGAUGAAGGAGGUGGACAGAAAGAGGUGGAGACAGAGAGGAAGAAAUCUCAGCCAGCUGCAGACAAAGGAGAAAUGUGUCUGUUUUCGUCUGUCAGCUGAAGCACACCAUGUUGCUCAUAGGAGCAGGGAAUGGUUGUGGCACACCUAUGAAGCCAUUCUUGACUUUGUGACCUGUUUAGUGACAGGAGAACAGCCCCUGGGUGAGGUGGGUGUGCUGCCUUUUACACCCUUUCAAUGUCUCACUCCACAACUGGGACCCACCACAGGGUCCUUCGGGCUGUGGUUUACUGAAUGGUCUGCUAAGGGGCCUAAUUACAGUCUCAAAUUCCCAAAGGUUUUUCUAUUCUGUCUAAAAUAUUUAUGUCUGCAACAAUUCAGACCUGUUUAUGUAUCUUUUUUUUGCCUGCUGGGUAAAAAGUAGUCUGGCUUUUACAAUGUGUCUCUAUACAGGGUUUUAGUAGCUUGGAUUGCUUUUAUAUGUUUAUAAUGAAAGUAACAGCCCCUUAAAAAUUGGAUUAUUGAUCAUGGGAAGACAGUAGGUAUUUUUAAUCUUAGGAGAAAGAUUACAAAUAAAUCAAAUUAUAUGAAGUAUUUUAUUUAAAGGCAUUUGAUUUUAUUAAAACUGCUACAUCUGGUGUUUGUAUAAAUAGAAUAAUUCUGUUUCUUCAUAUGAGGGUUCAGAGAAAACCAUGGUAGGAGUUAGUGCUUCUCACUCAGUAAAUUGCACUGAUGUCAAUAAAUCAAAAUUUAACUCUUCCCAAAUUGCAAAAAAACCACUGAAAGAUUAAAAAGUAAGGAUUUGGAUGGCUGUAAAAUUCCCAUUUCAGCUGAUAAAUUAUCCACAGGAGUUGUGAUCUUUACAUGAUGCACUGAAAAUGUAGGAUACCAUCAUGUUCACCUUUAUGUACACCCAUACAUACAUACGAUGUGUAGCUGAGUAUGUGUGUAAGUGUUUGCAUAUUUCUGAACCUAAAUACCUACAUACACAUUGCACUGCAAUGAAGCACCAAGGGCUGCUUUUGGCCCUGCAGUCUGUGCCACUUCUGUGGAUGUCCUGUCCCACCAGUACCUGUAGCAGUCUUUUCGAUUGUCCUGCUUGGGAUGUGGCUCUUCCCGCCCUAGUGAUGAUGAACUGCAGCACACACACCCUUCCUGUCCUUGUUAUCACCAGGUGUCUGAAUUUGGGGGUUUGUUUGCAUGUUCCAGAUGUUUGCUCUGCCAGAUUUGAACACAGGAAUGUGAGGCCAGUGGGCUGAGCCUCAUGAAGCGGAGAAGAGAAGCAUUUAGCCUGGAAUUUAUAUCUUCCAUCAUUUCCAAGGGUGAGGCAGAAAACUGGUUUCUCCCUGGGAGAAGUCAACCAAAGAGGAACUGUGCCUUCAAGGAGGUGGGACAGUGUGAAUGCCAUUGGUCUUUGUCAUUAAUCAGCUCUCUUCAAGCUCGAUGAGGGGCUGACAGGAUCUGUCGAUUAAAUCUCAUGCCUUCAAAAGACAGGAACAAAAUCACCACUGUAAUGUUUGGCAAAGCAAAAUGUUUUUGUUUGCUGGCAAGGGUUUAACUCACGUGCAGCCCUGCUGCCCUCUUAGGAUGUCAAAGAAAGAGGCUUUGCAAGUCAAAUGCUGCCUGCCUUACCAGCCUGUCUUACCCCAGUGAUGAAGUGCUCCAGCAUCAGAAGUCACCUUCUGUGUUCAGCUGAGCUCAACUGGAACCGUGCUCUCUGGCUGUGCUGUUAAGUGGCUCUGAAGAUGUUACAGGUGCAGAGCUGUGCUGCUGUGUUUCAAGUGAUCAUAAAAACUCACGGGAUAAAUUGAAAAAGUGUGACUUUUCAUUGUAGCAAGCUUGGACUGGAUAAGCAACUCCAUCAUUGUGCUAAGGCAGCAGAUGCAGUCAGUGUUUGGAGGAAAUGGUUCAUGACCUGAUUAUACUUUCCAAGAGCUUCAAUGAGGAAAAAAAAGAUGCUGGAGGCUUCUCAUGUCAGAAUAACACUGGUGGGACAGGCAAGGGAAGCAGAAGGAUCAGACAGUGGGAGAGAAUGAACAGAAAGGUGCAAUGCAAGCAGAAAACCCCUUUGCCAUGCUUCAAGCUUACUGUUACACUCAAAGAUGUGGGACAAAAAGCAAGAGCUUCAGGAAAAGCCCUUUCCUGAGGACCAGCAGAGCAUGCCAGGAGGGUGCUGCAGCCAUUGUCUCUGCAGCUAAAAUGAAGAGCAAAGCCACAAUCUGAUGGGGUUGGGCUGCAGCAGAUUCAAGAUCUGGAUCACCCUGAGAGUUGGGUCUGAUGGGUCUCCAGAACCAAGGAAGGCCCUCAGGCAUUCUCUCCAGAUGGGGAUUCACAACCAGCUGGGAUAGGGUGCUACUGGAUGCUGGGAUGGACUCGCCCCAGAAGCAUCACAUCACAGCUGCUCCUUAGCCAAGCACGCGUGGAUGGGCUGUCAGGAGAGCGUUUCGGUCGGUGAGCAGCUUGCCCUGGGAAUGUGUGGUGCUGGUCCUGAGUGUGAGCCGUGACCUGUGCAGGGCCCAGGGCAGAGGGCCAGGAUGCUGCCCAGGGACUUGACCCUGAAGAAGGGCAGCUCUGAGUCUCAGCAAAAGCCAAGCUGGUCUUGCAUAAAUUCUCUGGUGGUUUAGGCCGGCCAAAUUAAACAUGUCCCGUACCUUGUCUUUGUCACAGCUUUGACAGAAGUCCCAGCUGUGGCUCAGAGCUGCCCCUGUUCAGGGCACUUGCUGGGGCAGGAAAGGGCAGACAUGGAGCCUGCCACUGUCAGGGCUUGGCCAUCAUGCUCCCACUGAGGUGACUCACUGAGGAGCCCUUGGGCAGCAGGUGGACACAGCCUCUGUUCCCUGCUGACCCAAUCCAUGCAGCUGUGCUGGAGCCAUGGCUACUCCCUGGAAGGAGAGAGGUAUCAGAGAGGGGAAGAGUGUGGACUGGGAGAAGGGAGAAGGUGAUAAACCAGCUCUUCAAGGCAGGGGUGAGGUUGAAUGCUGUGGUGAGCUGCUCUACCUGACAGGACUUGUCCUGCCAAGGGUAGGUCAUCUUUCCUUUGACUCAAGAGGGUGUUGGGGGGUGCUUGCUAGGCCCAGAAACCAGUCAGUGCUUCACUGGGUCUUUACAUGGUCAGUUGUGGUAUGUUCUGCUGCCCUGUGAUCUGCAAUUUCUAUUUUAUUAUUUAGGUGAGCUCUGGCUCUUGCUGUCUCAGGGGAAUUUCACCUAAGUAAAUGCUGGGAAAAUUUCUCUUUAUUCAAAUCAUAAGCACAAACACCUUUGACAUAAUUUUUCACUGUAGUACUUUGUAUAGGUUCUUUUUAAAGAAGUUAAUAAAGCUGGCAGCACAACUCCAUUGACUCUCAGCAGAACACCUCUCUCAUUCCUGAGGUCCCUUUCAUAACCAGUUAUAUUAGCACCAUUUGUUAGCAUCCUGCUUUUCUCUUCAGUAUUGCCACGCAAUGUGCCUUCUUUUGUAGUACCUAAAGCUUGUGAGAUAACUCAGUUUGCCUCCCAGUGGGGGAGAAGGUAUCUGUAAUCUGUGUUUUGUGUCUCGGGUAUCUUGAAAGGACGAGAAAUCCCAAAUGCAGUAACUUGUGGGUUUUCUGUCUUAGAGAAUUAGGAUGUCUUUGCAUUACUGAGCAGGCAAACAGUGAGCAGUACUUGAUCAAUAAGAGGCAUUGCCAGAGGUCUGCUAUAGUCUACCACAGCUGACGGUAAGUGUUGCUAUAGGCUAUGGAACUAGGAAUAUAAAAUGUCAAAUGACAGUAAUAAUUCAUGCAUCCUGGGACAUAUAAAACCAACAGCAUGUCAAUAGCUGUGGCAUACUCUGCAGAAAAUAUGCAGGAUUUAGACAUUGCAGGAGUCUGUUUUAUUUUAAACUACACUUUCCUUGAUGAAAUAUAGACUUUCCCUGUUUGUUAAAAGCAUUUAUUUUCAGUUUCAUGUUGCUACUACUCUAUUAACAUUCUAAGAGCCACACAGCUCAAAGGGGGCCCUGAGAUUCAAAAAGCAAAAUAUAUGUAUUUACUGAAGAAAAACACAUAAAAUAUUUAUAAAACAGAGGGUGCAAUACUAUUUGAGAUUCAUGGACCAUUUCAGCAUACAUAAAAGCAAAUAUGGUUCUCUUGUUGGUUUCACCUGGAAUCAGACUUUACUAGAGAGGUUGCCCAGGAGGGACCUGUCUUAAAAUGAAACUUAUUACAAUCAUUAAUUUUACAUGGAAAAUCAUUAAAUUUUACAUGGAAAGCAGAAUGUCUUGUGAAAUAAGUGAGAACUUCUCCAAUAUUCAUCUUCUUUAAAAAUACUUCAGGAUAAUUAGUAUCACUUUUCUUUUACAAAAAUAUAUGAGAGGGUGAAUUACUGCAUCUGGGAGGGCAUAGCAGGCAUAAGAGGAAAGAUUGUGUGUAUCUGAUACUUGUUUUCCCCUGUGCCCCUGCUGCUUGGGAACCUAAAAGUGAUGGGUGCUGUUUUACUGGCUAAGGCUCCCACAAAAAUUCUUCAGAUGAAACUUUAACGAGAGAAGGGUAAAAAUGUAUUUGAGCAGCCCCAUUCUUAUGCUUUCAGGUGUUUGCUCCUGAGCACCUCAGCUGUGGGUUGUCAAGCCUCAAUUUCUGUACAUUUGCUUGAAAGUAGAAGGGCAAGACAGAAAAGUUGCAUGUCCCUCAUGAUUAUAUGAAUAUAGGGCUUAAUAUACCGGUAAUACUUCUAAAAGAAUGUAAAAUAUUAACUGAAAAAAGAGAAAAGGAAAAGCAUCACACAAAGAAAUCCACUACGCAUUAUUUAGAUCUCCCCCUGCGAGAGGCUGAGGAUUCAAACACGUAUGAGUCGUCUGCUCUUCCAUGUGAUAGCAGCCCUUCUGCUUCAGCGUUGCACAGUCCUAGCUCUCAGUUGUCUACUUGAGAAUUUUUUUUAAGUUAUAUAUUCAAAAAAAAAGAUCUUAAAUAUAAUUUCCAUUAUUUGAAGACCAUAAAGUGAUUUUGGUGCAGUGGACUGUACCUAUAUAGACAGGCACUAAUAGAUAUUUUGGCACAUCUUGCUGAAGCUAGCUUGAGAUGGAGAUUAUUAAAAUAAAUAAAAAGCAAAAUUAAUCCUCCUAAAUGUCUGAGACCUAAGAAAAGGGAUGUCUUUGUUCUGACGAGAACAUCUUGGCUCGUUCUGCUCCUUUGGCUUGGUUUGGGGAGGAUGUAUUUAACAGUCCUCCCAUGGUACUUGGCAAAUAUAAAGCUGUCACAUUGGAUCCUGCUUCUCUUUGUAUUAAAAGAAUGUCUAUGGUGUUUAUGUUAUGGGAAAAAAGCGCUAUUUCUACUUAUUGUAUUUUCAUUGUCUCUUUUCUUAUGACUGUACUGUUUGCCAGCAGCCAAGGGGCCACUUUGAUGCUUGCUUUGAUGCCAUGGUUUAUUGUGUUGCACAGUUGAGCCUAUGGUUUUCCUUUCAAAUCAGAGCUGGCAUACUGGGUGGAAAAAAAAAAAAAACCAAACCAAAAAUAAAGCUUUUCUAUAAUUAUGGUUAUCUCAUAAAGUCUGCAUUUGUUACAGCUGCUGGGGUGUUGGAAAUCAGUGUUUGUAAAUACCUAUAUAUUCUGAUUUGUUUUCAGCCUCAGAGAUGUUUUUGUCUGUCUGUGUUCCUCACCCCUGGCCAUUCAUGCAAGCAGCCUUCCCUACCUGCACGCCGAGCUGCACUGCCUCGGGAAGAUACCAGCCUGUUACCCAGCUUAUCUGCAUGGUACUGCUUCACCUUGUUCCCUCUUCUCACUCUGAGGGAUUAGCAUCCAAAGAAAAACAAAUUAGUCUUGUAUCAAUUCACCCAGGAAAGCGAGUAGCUAAACCGACCAGAAGGUUCCUGCUGGCAGAACUGAGUGCAGAAGGAGGCUGGCAGGGUGUGUUCUUUGAGUGCUGCCCAGCUCCACCACGCUCUCUCAGAGGCCCACAGGGACACCAUGGGUCCUGCUAUGGGGAUCCAGACUCUCCUGUACCCACAGGAAGCCUCACUUGCUGGCUCCGUGCUCCACGUGGCAGUGCCAGUUAGGAUGUGUGUAAUACCUGCUUGGAUGUGUCUGUUGCUUUUCUCCAUAUGUCUUGUGGUCAUCUGAGAGCUGAUGAGGAACCAUUCUGUUUCCAUUCUGCUGAUGGAAAAGGAGAGGCUUUGAGAGGCUGAGUGAUUUGUCCAGGAUUAUGCAGCAGAUCAAUGGGAGAAAAGGGGAUCAGGCCAUUCCACACAGGAGUGCCUUUAGCUGUCCCAUGGGCUUUCUAGGGAAAGGCAUGCAGGUCCCCAAAGGGGCCGCCUCCAGCAGUGUUCCUCCAUUAUUUCUAUCAGAUUAUUGCUGUGAACAGUGGAGAAAUGCAAAAUGUAUUAUUCAUUUCUCCUACUUCUAAAAUCAAUAGCUAUCAAAAUACAAAUACAAUUUAAAUCAAAAGGCACUUAUUGAGUGCAGAUCCUACUAAUUAGGUAUGAUUUCCUAACAAUUUCUUAAAUUAUUUAUCCAAGGGAUGGGUGGAAAGCACUUUAUAUGUCCCAAAGUGAAUAUUAUAAACCUCUUGUGAUGAUACAGAAAAUGUGAAAUGUAGUGCAAUGCAGUGUGAUUUGUAACCUUGAUGAACUAAUGUAAUAUCAAUAGACAUCAAUCUGUGCAAAAAAAAAACUCUGUCUCAUCAUAACAUCUAACAAGAUAUGUCAAAAGUCAAUAACCUUGUGAAAUGGACACGUAACAGACUUUGCUGCUAGGAAUCAAUUAAAAAUGUAAUACCCACUUGCAAUGGAAAUUACUACACCACACCAAAAAGGAGGUUUGCAUCAUGCAUGGACAUUUGUCAUAAGGGCAGCUCCCUUCAGGCUGGCUGUUGGCUCUGUAAGCAAUUCCACUGUAAUAGAUGGCUUUUUUUUUUUCUUAUGCUGGUAUUGCUUAGUUUAGCCCCAUAAUCAACAUGCAAAAAUAUUUAUGUCAUAUCCAGUUAAAUAUAUUUUUAAAACCCAUACAGAAGAGCCAAUGGUUUUGAAGAUUUUUGUGUAAAAAUUAGAAAGCAGCUCUCCUGUUAAAUGAAAGAUUUACAAUUGUCAGUCAAUAAUGUAGAUCAAUGUUCUUCAAUUUUUAAUCAUAAGGAUUUUUCUCAACGAUUUUUCUUCUUUGGAUCCUAAUUUUCAAACUUAUACUCCCAUCCAUACAGCAGAUCUUAAGGUUCCACCACACCAACCAUGUGUCAAGUGAAAUUCUUGGUCCCAUCAUAUUGAUACCCACUCACCAAAUGCUUUCAAAUCAGUGAUUUGAAAUAAGAGUAUGAAAUAUUAUAUAUGUUUUCUCCUCAGUUUUUGAAAUUGAUUGAUAAAAUAUUCACUUUUUAGGCAUUUUACUUUACCAUUGUCCUCUGAUAAUAAUUUCAGGGCAAGUGUAACUUUGAGGCCAAAACUAAAUAUUUGAAUGGGGAGGGAGGUCCUAUGGCUUCAAAGACAGCAGCAUGUGAGAGGCUGAAGUAAAACUAUCAGAGUAAUUCAGGGCUUAAACUUUUAGCUUGGUGCUUUUUUCUGUAGCCUUAAUGGUGAUCAGCUCCCGGGAAAGCCAUCAUGAGCCCGAGCAAAAAGCUGUAGUGGUCCGAAGUGCCUGUGAGGUUCAGCUGCUGCAGGCAGCCCGCGAUCGCACGGCAGCUCGGCAGUGCUUCAGUGCAAUUGUGCAACCGGGGAUUCAAGGCAGAGCCAUAAUUCAGAAUUUCAUGGCAUUUUAAAGCACAAGUCAGAAUUUUAAUGGUAUUUCAACCUUCCUUAUUAGCUGCACAGUAAGUGUCUUUCAGCCAGUGUUCUGCAAAUUCCUUCCUGGUGGUCUGUAAAAGACACGGCUUGAAAUCAGAGCAUUGGAGGUGAAUGCCGGGUGUGUGGAAAUGGAUCUUGAAUUGGUGGGAGGAAUAAGGAAUUCUGAAAAAGCACUGCAAUAAGAUUGCAUGGGAUAAUAAGGGUAGUAGCAAAAAGUUUAAAUAAGUAUGACAUGAGUAAAUUGGAUAAUAAGAUAAAAUCAACUUCAGUUAUUCAGCUUGUAUUUUUGUUGGUUUUAAUUAAUGAAAGUUUGUCUGGCAGGUACGGAAACAAAGUUCAAUCUCAGAGUGUUUGCAUUAGAGCUCCUAGCUGCAUCAAGUGAAAACAGGCAAUACUGCAUUUGAUGUUUUGCAUUUUCUCAUUCUGUUUGAAUGUGAAUGAGCUAUCUGGAAGGAAUAUCCAACAUUGCAGAUACUGUUUAGUGAUAUAUUCUUCUUAUCUUCUUUUCUUCUGUCUAAUGCCUUUCAUACAUGCUUAAAAACUAUGUGGUUGUAUAUGUGAUUGUAUAUUAGUGACUGCAAAGGUUACCUAAAUUGAGACCAUGGACUAAUUUUAUUUUAAAUGCAGGGUAGAAGCACAUCUGUUUCAAACAGAUUUGUGAAAUGCCUUUUGUAAGUUCAAAUCACAUACAGUAAUGACCACUUGAGUAAGCUCCUACACACACAGUACUAACAAAUGCAUCUAUAAAAUGUCACUUGCAUUUUGGUGUUCUGAAGUAGGUUCGUCCUCUCCAUUGCCCUGGAAGAUUCAGCCCUCUGCUAUUGUGUAGAGGAUACUAAAGAAAAGGAUGUGUUCUUCCUCAUGGAGGAUGUGUUAUCUACUGCAUAACUGUACUUGAUAUAUAUUUUGUAUUUUGCCUGAGUCUCCCUUUGAGAGAGGCAUAAGAUUUUUCUGAGUUGUAACUAACGCUGUUUUCUAGCCAUGAAUUGUUAUAAUUAUAUAAGAUUAUGAAUAUAAGUGAGGUAAUAAAACCAAAACAAACAGUCUAGACUAUAUCUCUGGAUUGUAUUCAUAGGUGAGAAGUGUGUGGUUUUGCUGUAUAUCACAUUGAUUUCAGAGGGUAAAGUUUGGGUUUUUCCACAGAUGUCCUUUUCAAAGAUAAAGGUGUGUACAUCCUGCAGGUGUCUACAGUGGGCAAACUGAAAGCAAAAAAAUAGAAAUGUGUUCAUUCAACAAAUUUCUACUGUAAGUUAUUUUGCCUUAAACUGUGGAAGGAUCAAAGAAAAGCUUUGCAGAACAGCUUCUCCGUCAUGGAGCUGGGGUGGCAGAGGAUUGCAGCGGUGCUGCCUGGCCUCUGCUGAGGUGCAAUCUGUCCUGCACUUGUCUUGUGAAGCAGGAAAGUGCUGUUAUAUUUAAUUUUAAGAGAGAGAGAGCUAAGACAUGGACAGAAACCACGGGACUUGUCUGCACACCUAAGGGAACUCUGCAGAAGCUGAGGAGUUGAAGAAAGCUGUGUGGAGGCCACAGCUAAUAACCUAAACCAUUAGACCAUUCUCAUAAAAUCUGUGUUGCCAAGUCUGUUGCCACUGAAAUCUGAAAUCAAACAUUAGCAGCCAAGAACAUCAUGCUAAUUAAUUGCCUCAGGAGGACACAAUUUCCAAGAUCUAAUGAAAGAUGGAAAUCCAGCUCCCAUAUGUCCCAUUUGAUAGCCCAAGAAAACACGGACACAUGUUCAAAGAAACAGUGACAAAUGUCCAAGUACUUGUGUCUCAGCUGAAUAAAACUAAUCACCAGGCCCAGGGAUAGAAAUGGCUGCACAACAGAACCUAGCCUGAAAAGCCAGCCCAGGAUGUUGCUGACAAACCAUUUUCAUUCAGAAUGUUGAAGGCAGCUUCAGAUGGUGACAGCUGAGCACCACAGCCCCUCUGUUCUACCCACAGAACAGCAUUACUCCUGCCUUGCAUGCAGCUGCCUUGUCAUGGUGCUGGUUUAUUUUAAAAAAUAAUAAUUAGGAACAAAAAAAGUUAGCAUGUCACAUUCUUGACAAAAUACUGGGGAGAAGACAGAGGCAUCAGUGUAGUCACAGAUGUGUGCCAGGGCUGCCUUGCAGUGCUAUAAGCUUGUUGAACUUGACAUUCCUGCAGAUGGGAUGUUAGUGCCAGGAUGGCAGUGGUGCUUAGCCCCAGGGAAGCAGGGAGGGCUGACCCUGGCCAGCCUCAGCCCCCCCGGGAGAGGCAGGCCUGCCUGGCUGUGCAAGCAGAGCCCCGUUGUGAAUGGCAAUGCCCUAUCUCUGUGUGGCUCUGAGCUAUAUGGAAUUGUUCAGCCAGCUUAAAGACAUAAUGUUUCUUUUAAAUAUUUCUUGUUUGAAGGAUCCUUACAUGCAUGAGAAGGUCUGUACUAUGUAAAGACCACAUGCUAUUGUGGCUGCACUCACAGUCUGCCACAUUUCAGGAGUCGUUUCUGUGCACGGGAAGCUCCUGCUCUCACCUGCUUUGCUGGUGUGAGGUGUUUCACACAAUUCCAGGUUUGUUUGGAUAGAGUUGGAUGAUCAGCUUAUUGUAUCAGACCUGACCAUGAGGCUGCUUGCCACAGCCUGACUGCCAUGCUCAGGUAGGGAAUGUCUUGGUGCCCAGCGAGCAGACUGGGAAGCCCAGUGCAGACAGGGAAGGAACACAGCUAUAGAGCAGGGUUGUGACAGGCCUUGGUGUCUAAUCCAGGAUUUCCGAGUGACCCCUUAUCCACACAAACUUCAUUAGCAUUUGCUAAGUGGUCAAUCCUUGGAAGCAUACAAAAAAAUUUCACUUUCCUCUUUUACUUUUUACAUAUGAUUCAUGUGAAACUUCUAAUCUAAAAAGAGUAUCUUGACUCCCUGUUUAGUAAAAAUGGGCAUGAGGAAAGCAGGUGCAAAUUGCACAGCAAAUUUUCACUCUUAAGUAUUGAAGAAAAUAUAUUUUAUUCUGUCUAUCCUGAGGAGAUUAAAGGAAAAAAAAUAGGAGGGUCGAGGUAAGUAAUUGUAGAACACUAUCUAUUGUGUAUUUCCUCAAGAUCACUCCUGUUGUACAGAAUAGUGGCAUUUCUGAACUUCAGUAACUUCCACCACACAAAGGCACAGCAUUUUGACAGGACUCAGUAAAUUAUUUAAAAUCACAAGGGCCAUUAUGCAGACUGUGUGAUAAAGUUAGAGGUAGGGUAUUUUUCUGCAAUUGGUCUUCAAUUUCAUUCUAGAUUUUAGGUAACAUAAAGCUCAAAAGGAGUUCCUAGUGCUACUCUCCCAGAGAUGAGAUCAACACUUAUGACGACAUGUUUUGAUGGCACAGCUCAGAAAAUGGAAGGGAUUAUUAUUAUGGAAGGACCAGGGUGAUAAGUACUGUGUUAUAUAUUAAUAACUGUCAGUCAGACAAGCCAAGAAAGGUCAUAAUCCAUUAUAUUAUGUCAUAAAUGUUAUCAUAAACUGACAUCAGGAUGGGAAACUGGGAUUCUUGCGCUUUUUAAAGUGCUGCUGUUCUUAAAUGACACUGUCCUAGAAAGACAUGUUGAUAUUAAUUUUUCUUUCAAAAUAAAAGACUUUAAUGAUUUUCAGCAAAACAGAAGUAGUAUUUUAAAUAUUUGUUUGGAGUUUUUAAUUUUUUUUUUUUAAGAAACUGACUGAAUUAUCACAACAGUAUCCAAGAUACCAUGAACAGAUGAGAGAGGAGAGACACAAUAAUUUCUGAAUAUUUACUGUCCCCUCUCCUUUAUUUGAACGGUAACUUUCACAUUUCAUUCAGACACCCUCUGGGGCCAUUCCAGCUGAGGGUAAGAUAAGGAGGGAGGCAGAGGUGGAAGUUCCUGGCCUGGCUGCUGACCACCCCAAAUCAGAACUGCACCUUUCUGGAAUUCACUCCCUUGACACUAAUAUUUUUUCCCAAUAUCAGAUAUGAACUGGGGUGAUAGUCAGGAAUGUAUGACAGAGAAAAAAGACAAUAGGAAUCAUAUUUUAUGUCUUUUGAUGCCCAGAGAGAGCAGGCAGCUCAGUGGAUGUUACCAGUGCAUGACUCCUCUGAUUUAGCCCAGGCUCCCAGAGGAGGAUCACCAGGGAUUCAAAUGAGACUUUGUUCUUGCCAGCACCACAAGUGCAGAUCCAUUGCUGACCGCUUACAAGCCAGCAGUAAAUUACUGUCACUUAGGUUGGGCUGUUCCCAACACAGGCUCCCAAGUGAGAGUGAGGGAGGGGAGCUCUGAGCCCAUGCAAAACCAAAGCCUUGUGUCCACACUCACUAACACUGCAAAUUCUACAAACUGUGUAAUGCUGAAAUGUGGGUGCGUCGGGGGUGAAACAACUGGACCACUCGUCUCCAGCUUUGGGGGGAAUGGUAUGGUAAACUCCAGAAAUGCAAGAGGAACUAAGGUGAAUUUUCACAUCCCACACAGAAGCCAAAGGAAAAAAGCAGGGUAAGUACUUCUGGAAGGUGCCGUGCUGUAUUUUCUUGACCACAUCAGAUCAGAGCUAUGGUUUUAUGUCAGAACUUAGAAUUGCACAUGUCCAGCAGACUCCUGCAGAUGAAUGGUUGUGGUACCACUGCUGUGGGCAGGAGACAGCACCGGUGAGUCACUGCAGCACUUCCUGCAGGAGCUGCCUGUCUGCAGUGCAUCCACUGCACUGCUGAUGGAGUGGGGCUUGCCAAAAUCACCCAUCUAGUCUAGCUUGUACAACCUACAAAUAAGCCAUGUUUGUACCAUGCAGGUAAAAUGUUCAGGGUGAAACCAGUGUGGGCUAACUUGAAUUGUAUAAAUAACUGCAAAUCAUUACUCCAAAUGAGAGCAUAAUGUCUGGAACCACAGGCAGGAAAAUACAUUUACAGACUAUCAAAUUAUCUUGGGAUAAUAGUGUAAUGCUUUUCACUGCUGUACUUUGUGUUCUUAUAGCUGAGCAAAGAAUACUACAGCUGGAAAAGGCUCUGAAUUUCAAAGAGAAGAGAUUUCAUAAGUAGAGUCCUUCCACAUAAGAGACUGCCUUUUCUGUGUUAUUUUAGUGGAACAUUAGAAAACCCCCAGCAAACAAAAAUUAUUUUUUAUGACUUGGAACUACACAGAAUAACAUCUGAUGAUAAACAAACUUUUAGACAAUUUGUCUAUUUUAUAAUAUAACCUGCAAAGUGCUUCCUUGUUCAUAUGAGGUUACUUAUCCCUGUGAUUGCAACAAAAUGCUUUUGAUCAAAUGUGUUUUCAGAACUGGCAUAACCAAAUCAAGUAGCUAAGCUGCUAUAUCAGUUUGCAUGCACAAGUGCUGUUUGAGUAUAGAAUUUUUGGAGCACAUUUUUAGAGAAAACAGAGUGCCCUUUGAAAUCUUGGAACUAAAGCUAUAUAAAUGCCCUAAUGCUGUUUAUGAUGUCUGUGGAAAUAUAUGACACUCAAAGUGCUUUUAGGAUGUUCCAAAGUAUAUCAAAGAGCAUUAACUUCAGCACAGCUGGGAAUGUCCCCAGAUUCACUUAUGAAUGCAUGUUUCUUAUAUCCUCUAUAUUAACUAUAGCUACAUACAAGGCCACACUUUAUAGCCUUGCUCAUUGAGAAUAAUCCACAGAGUAAGCCUAUUAGGUAAGGUUUAGCAUCUACAUUUUUCUGCUCACAUCUGCUUGCCUGACAUAUAUAAUCUGCCUGGAUGUCACAGUUUACAUCCUAUUUUCAUUGGAUGAUAAUGAAACUUGAUCAGUGUCUUCAUAUCCUUCUCUGUCCCUCCAAGAAAUAUUUCUGCUUGUCAGCUCCCCCUUACCAGGACUCUGGUGUGACCCUGAGCCAGGUCCUUUAUUAAAGGGUAGUGCAUGCAAGGCUUGAAGGCAACUGUGCAAUUUAUCUUUGUGCAAAAUGCGUGCAGAAAGUGCUACUUACAAUACAAUAAGGAAAUAAAAAGUGAUAUAGCAAUUUCCUAACCUGAAUUUUCUGUACUUCCAUUUCUCUCACAAAGCUCUGGCGUAUCACUGUUUUAGUAGCAAUAAGUCAGUAUUUGCUUUCUGAAGAUUUACGUUUCUGCUGAAGUCUUAUGAAACUGAACUGUAGGCACCUCAGUAAUUUUAGAACAGCUUAGUCUGAGAGGUAAAUUAAAAUUAGGGAAAAUUAGACCAUUUUUAAUGAGAUGGUUAUUACACUGAAUAAUGAUGAUUAUUGCUUCUGCUUAAUAAAACUGUCAGCCAGUGCAAAAUAUAUAUUAAGGGAAAUUGCAUUACAUUAUAUUUUUAUCAACUCAGAAAUUUGGUGUGUUGCUUUCCCAAAAACCAUGGAAAUAAUGAAAUUUUAGUCAGAGCUUCCUUUUCCAAAUAGGAUCAAACAUGGAGCUUUCGGAAACAGCCCUUUAAAGCCCUGAUGUAAAUCCCAUUAAAUCUAAUGUUUGUGAAGAUUUCUGCUGACUCCUGUGCCAUGAAGAUCAGGACUUCACUAAAGUGAGCUGUGUUCCCCCUGUUGUCUCUACUAAAUACCUAGAUAAGACCACACAGUGAGUGCACGCUGAGCUCAAUGCUUGCUGGCACACCUGCUUUUCUCUUCUGAUUUACCUGGCAAAUUAGGAGAUGAACUCCAUAGGGUGAGAUACACUGUUAUUCCCAAGGUGAAAACAAAGAGGAGUAUUACCUAUUAUCUACUAUAAUCAAUGUAAAAAUUAAAUCCUUGCUGUGGAAACCUUGACAUGGAGGCUUCAGACACUUAGAGGUGAGGCACCUCCCCAGAAGCCUGUCCAGAGAUAUAAAUGACCAGGAAAUUUGAGUGCUGAGCAUUUUUCUAUUUAAAAGUAGGCACAAUAUCUAAUGCUGCCUUCAGCAGGAGCUGCUAUCCUGAGGAAUGGGAUCUGGGGUGGCUCUUUCCUCUGUGUUGGGAGUCUACAUGCCAUAAACUGCCAAAUGGGCCAAAAGAAGGGAGGUGGGAAGUGAAGAGUGCAUUCCUACUACCACCCCUUCUCUGUGUAGGGUUCAAUCUAAAAGGAUAUGUUUUUGUGGAAUAAUUUAUAUAAACUAAGCCACACUUUUCUUACAGAAAGGUGUUUAUUGCAACUGCAGUAUAUUACAGAUUCUGAGAGAGAUCAAAUAAGCAGCAAAAACUGCAUGACUCAAUACAUGCCUGGGCCAUCUGAACCAGGGAGCAAGGGCACAAAGGUGAGCGAGUGGUGCAUGUUAAAACCUGGAGAAACAGAUUUACCAUAUAAUUUUAUUUUUUGAGAGCACUAUUCCUCAUACAAAGAGCAAUGUAUUAUCUUAAAUGAGGUUGAUAACAUGAUUAAUAAAUCACAACACAUGUGUUUCUUAGGUUUUCAUCACAUUUUGAAACGUUUACUAAUCAACAAGAUUUCUCCUUUUAUGAAGCCCAUUUUGUAGAGUUCCAUAAAACAGGUUCAACAGUCACAAUUUAAUUAGCAUUAUAUUGUUGCCAUGGUAAUGUGGUACCAAUUCAAUGGAUGGGCUUUUCAUCCUGGGCUCAUAGAAUUGCUCUUCCUGUAAAAAAUACAUCUAUAUGGAAACAGCAAACAGACCUUACCACUGGAGUACAAGCACAAAAUAUCACAUGCUAAUUUGGCUAGAAAUGAAUCAUAGCAGCAGACCCAGAAAUCAUCAGAAACAUGGUAGAAGUCACUACACACCAUACAUGGCAAAGUCACACUUCAAAAUUAGGGAAGUUCCACACAUUCAUUGAUGCAGUAUCUGAAUGUGUUAUUUCAAAAGCACUUGGCUGUACUGUGAUCAUUCUCUGAAAUUCUGUUAGGAGGGCACAGUGCAACUGGGAAUAUUGGAGGAAACAAAAGCAGUAACACACUAAAGAAUAAAAUGUGAGCUGAAGGUGUGUUGGUCCUUCUCCCAUUUGCGUGUUCUGCAGCAUGUUCUGGGCUAAUUGCUGCCAAAUGCAACACCUUGUUUCUCUGGUCUGUAAAAUUGGGAUAGUGCCCCCUCUGCCCCUGUGCAGGGUACCUGGUGUAUACCAAAUAGUGAGUGAUGGCUGGUAUUGCUGAACACUGUCAUUAAGUGAAGUAGAAAUGCUUUUAACAGCUCUGGGAAAAUGCACUGCACAGAUGUACAAUUUGAGAAAUGUCACUGGGAGGAUCUGGACUCACCCAGGGCAACGCAGAAGAGGUGACAGACUGAGCAGGUAACAGUACAUACCAACUUAUGGGGGAAGGACACUCACAUCAUUAAAACAUCAUGACAGUUCAUAAUUAAAAAAAAAAUAAAUAUUGUAGACUACAGGAGAAGUAUCUGCAGCAAUCUGAGCAAGGAAUACAAUAAACAGCAAUACAAUAUAAGGCAACAAUGGGGUGGCUUGUUUAUAAUAUGUUAAAAUACUUUCUUGUGUAUUUGCACUGUUUUUUAUGAUAGUUUCCUAUUUAGAUAGGAAAAAUCUUUUACCAUCCUGACACAUAAUGUUCAGUCUAUCAUUUCUUAGCUUAAUCAUAUUGUGUCCUUUGUAGCAACAAGGGUAAAUUGCAGACAGGGUAGUAUUCAGUAUAAUCAAAGAUGUGUUCCACUUUACAUGAUAAGUUUUGUCUGAUUUACAAAAGCAGUAUCUUCUCCAGCUGAGUGAGGAAAGAGAGACCUUAACUUGCAGAUAAAAAAAUUCAUCCAUUAGGAUGCUAUUGUUCACACACACAAACAUAACGUUGUUACCACUAUUAUCUAUUUAUUUACUUUUACCAUGAUAUAGCAACUGGACUCAACUGAGACUGGGACCUACUUGGCUAGGCACAGCAAAACCACACAGAGUGCUGCAGUUUCUCCUUCAGACAAUGUAUAAGCCACAAGAGAGGACAGAGAGGAAAGAAAGAGAGAGGGAGAGACAGCUUAAGUAAUUAACUCUCUAGGUCAGAGAAGUCAGUGGCAGAAGCAACACAGAUCUCCAGUCCCUGUACUCUCCAUUGGGAUGCCUGUCCUGGUGGGUGAAGGAUAUAUUUGGAGAUAUCCUCCACCACAUUCUGAGGGUUCACACUCAUACACAGAGACAUGCUUUACACCCUAAUUUCAGUGGCUGCAUCUGUGUCUGAACAGGCGCAGCCUGAGGCAAAGCUUGAAGUCAGCUGUGAAGCCCACCCCUAUUACCUAUUAAAACACCUUCAGGCUGGCUCCAGGGCAAUCCUGUUAAUCCUCUCAGGGACAAAGGCUUAGGGAUACCCUAUGGUUUUUUUUUUUUUGAGCAUGUCAAGGGCACCAGGGUCAGGGUACCUGCCAGGGAAAUAUUAAUGGGUUUCAACACCACAACUGAAGCAAUAGGGAUCAGGCUUUCUUCCUUUGGAGAAGGGACUUCCAAAUUCAAGCUUGAACAGAUGGAGGGAGGGGGAAAAAGACAGGAGAUUUUGGUCACAAGAGUAAGAAGUCAGUUUACUUCAGAAUUUGAAAGCUUUGAUCAGGAAUAUCUUCGAUUAGGAAAGCAUUGGCUUGGAGAUUUUCUAGCUUUCUCCUAUCUCUGUCUCUCAAAAAUCCAUAUAAAGUAAACCCAUUAGGCUCUCGGUGAAGAGACAUUCAUCUUCUGGUCGGUAAAUACUUUCUUAUGCUGUGUGGUGCCUGCUGACUUUACUGCUGUUGCAGCCUUUUAAAAUGCUUCCAGUAAAUCUCAUUCAAUUUUAACAUUAAUUUUUUUUUAUUAAGGAAUCUGAAGAGAGUUUAUAAUAAUCCAAAUUUAACUUUUUAAUAAAAACAGCAAAUAAUAGGCUAGCAUAGAUUUGAUUUCAUAUACAUAUCUGAUAAAAAUUAGAUCUGUAGUAAAAUUUGUUAGCUGUGAGUCUGUUGUCAUCAUAUUAAUGACUAUAAAAGCUGGCAGCUUCAAAAUGGCAAUAUUACAGUAAGCCUACUUUUUUAUAAUGGUUUUGUGUUGUGCAUUCCAUAUUGAUGAAGAUUAAGAUUUAGCAUGCAGAAGUAAUAUCCAUUAUGAUGGGAUUGUCCACAGUGAAUUGAGUAGGACAUUUGCUUAAUUAAAAGUAUUUAUCUUAGAUGAUUUAAGACAUAUGUCCUACUACUGAACUGAUGAUGUAAAUUAAUUUCUUAUAAUCAGUUCACCACUGAUGACUCCUUAUACUAAAUAGAAGAAGAAAAAGGUAAGAGAAGAGUCAGAGGAAAAUAAUAGAUGCCACUGCCAGAGAAUUUAAAAGAACUUCAGAAAUAAUGAUUAACUAACACUAUGGCUUGAGCAGGAAAUAUACAUAAUCACACCCCUAAUGCAGAGAUCUAAUAGAGCCCUAAAAGGCUGCACUUCAAGCAGAAAUUUUGGAGAUGAAAAUAUGAACACAUACCCAGAUUCCCUCUCCUAUCCACUGUAGCUGUGCCUACAGCUGGCACAGAGGCACUGGCGUUUGCAGGACAGAGCUUGGGGACAAGAGGUGGCACAGAGCCCGUGGUGGGUGAAGCCCUGUGACGUGGUGUGGGGUGUCCUGCAGGGGCUGGGCAGGGCAUUUCCCUGGCUUUGGGCAGGGGCUGGGAGCUGAACUGCUGGGGCUGGCAGAAUGGAGAGCAAGGCCAGAAUGCCAGUGAGGACAGGAACCAGUGUGAUCUGCUCCUCAGGGUGGUUUUGUGUUUAUAAAGACAUACUGGGUGGUUUAAUUCCUUAUACAAAUAUACUUUCAAGGGAGAACCCCAAUGGGUGGAAUGUUUCAGCCUCUCUCAAUUUUACAGUCCUACAGCCUAAGUUUCCUGGACUAGUCCACCUUCCUUCCUUCCUCGCCAAAUGACUCAUGGAAAGCUGUUGAUCUUCAGUCUAUGGAGAGAUUCAAACAUCAGCAACUUUCUGGGGGUGCUGCUACAAGGUGAGCCUCGGACUCUGCCUGCGGUCUGUGCUCCCAGAUGACAGCCCCACGAUGGCAGAUGGAGGGACAUCCACGCACUGCACUGGGCAUUGGCUGCUCCCAGAGCUGCCACAUGCCAUGGGACCCCCAGCUGCUGGAUGCCUGACCCAGCUCCGCUGCUGCUGGAGAUGUGUUGGGGCUGGCUCAGCCCUGCUUGCUGCUGCCUGUCUGCCUUAUUCUUCUGAGUUAUGCCCCAGCCUGCUCCUGUGCUGUUGUGCUGUCCUGUUGGUGUGCCUCCGGGCUGUAUUGAGUUUUCAAUUAUCACAAUGUACAGUGCAGAUGCUAUGCAAAACAGCCAGUGUGGCUGAGCAUGCUGAACUCAGGAGAAACACAGUUAAAUAAAAGUACUACUAUAAUACCAGGAGGCUGAUUGGAACCACAAGAUACCAGUGUCAUAUCCUGUGGCUUUUAUGUUGGUUGAUGUAGAUUUCAGACAUUAGAAUCUAGCUAUCCAACAGAUAACAACUAGAGGAAAUGGAUCUGGGUAUCUUCAGUUGUGAGUAACUGAUACACACUUGCCAAUAAAUGCAGAACCUGGUAAACUGCAGAAGAAAGAAAGAAAAGAUUUAUAUUUGAGAUACCUACAAAUAUAUAUGGAUAUAUAGAGAGCUCUGACUUUAGAGAAACAAGGUGUGGUUACUUGUCAAUUCCAAAUUCAAGCAAGGAAAUAAACAGCAAGUGCAGGUCUCAAUUUCUCUAUUUGUGCAUGCAGUAACAAGCUCCCAGAUGAUAAUGAUAUUGAGAUAUCUAUGUGGGGGUAAAAGACUAUGACAAAAAAGCAAGAAAUAAGCAAUAAAUACAAUAAUGUCAGACUUUCCUGUUAUUAACUUCCAGAAAAGCUCAACAGCUGGAAUUUUAAAAUGUUUUACGUAGACAAAUGUAAAGAGAACAACACGUUAAAUGUGGUUUUUUUCCAAAGGAAAAUUAAAUAGGGCAUACAGAGAAAAUUAUUAUAUUUAGUACUCUCAGGGCAAAUUCUAGUUAAGGACUAUGAAAUAAUUUGAAAAUAGUAAUGAUUUAGCCUCACAGCUAGCUUUCAGGGAGAUAAUAAUGAUAAUUAUUAUUAUAAAUAAAUAGUAUCAUUCUUGCUUAGAAGAAUGGAAUAUUGAUGCCUAGAGAAUUCUGUAUUUGUCCAAAAUACAGAAUACAUUUUUCUGUGUUUUACUACUGUAACCAUCCUCCUCAAGAACUAUUAUAUAUUAAGAUUCUCCUUUUCAAAAUACUCUUUGAUAUACUACUCAGUUUAUCAGUUCUGAAAACCAACAAAACAAGCUUUCUUGUGAAAAAGUGCCAGUCAACAUCUCCAUUUGCAUGUGAAUUCUCUAGCAGAAACAGUUCUGGUUAAAAAAAAAAAAAAAAAAAAAAAAAGUAAAAAAAAGAUGAAGAAGAAGAGAAAAGGAAUCAUGAAAAUCAGUACAAAAUCUGUCAAGGCCCCAUCUGUGACUGGGUAUCAGAAUAUCACUAAGAAGCUCCGAGGAACAAAGUUCAUUCCAAGUCUAACACAUAGAGAAUUUUGGUUGAUGAAAUUAAUUCAAGCAGGAAGAAAUGAGAGCGCAUACCAUGAAAAACUCUGUUCCUCCACUGAGGAUCGAAGACAAGAAGCAUCACUGUGUGUGGUCUUGGUUUUGGUGCACAAAGCCAUGCUUAAACAGUACAAUAAUCAGUGUGCUCAUGUCUCGUUUUGAUAGCCAGCUGCUGCUCUGAGGAGUGCCAGGGAAUGAGGCACCUCUGGUCCUAACAAGAUGAGGACCCCGAUUACAUAUGAUUGUUGCAAAAAGGAAGAUUUGCAACCAGCUACCUGAAGUAGUAUGGAAACAAAAUUAUAGUCUCCACCCUGGCCUUGAAAAUCCCUCUACAAACAUGUUUAUUUUCUUCUGAAUGGGAAUAUAUAAAGGCUGGGGACACUUAUUUGUAGGCUAUUUAUAUCUCCUCUUCAGGAUCUGAAUCUUGCAUAUUAAUGAACUACACAAAACAGGAAAACCAAACAUUAACACCAUUCUAAUGCAGCAUACUAUUUUUCUUUCCCUUUUUUUUAACUGUUAGAGUAUGCAAAUGUUCAGUUAACUGGUCCUCAUGUUUUCUCUUUAUUGAAUUGCUUUCACUGUGGCAAAUAAAUAUUCAUAAAGAAAUGUGGACAAUAAAUCAUUUCAAAUAGUUCAAAGCCA